GGGGAAUAUUGCGCAAUGGGCGAAAGCCUGACGCAGCAACGCCGUGUGAGGGAUGAAGGCUUUCGGGUCGUAAACCUCUGUCGGAAGGGAAGAACGGGCAUUGGUCUAAUAGGCCUUUGUUUUGACGGUACCUUUAGAGGAAGCACCGGCUAACUCCGUGCCAGCAGCCGCGGUAAUACGGAGGGUGCAAGCGUUAUUCGGAAUUACUGGGCGUAAAGCGCACGUAGGCCGCUUUGUAAGUCAGGGGUGAAAUCCCACGGCUCAACCGUGGAACUGCCUUUGAAACUGCAGAGCUUGAAUCCUGGAGAGGGUGGCGGAAUUCCUGGUGUAGGAGUGAAAUCCGUAGAUAUCAGGAGGAACACCGGUGGCGAAGGCGGCCACCUGGACAGGUAUUGACGCUGAGGUGCGAAAGUGUGGGGAGCAAAC
Molecule: ribosomal RNA, 426 nt
Filed under: uncultured bacterium
Lineage: Bacteria
Description: bacterial SSU rRNA
Rfam family: Bacterial small subunit ribosomal RNA
Source: RNAcentral